This 163-nucleotide non-coding RNA is filed under the name Cohaesibacter gelatinilyticus. Its description in RNAcentral is "6S / SsrS RNA". It matches the Rfam family "6S / SsrS RNA". Rfam says of the family: E. coli 6S RNA was the first non coding RNA to be sequenced, but its function was unknown until recently. It consists of 184 nucleotides that fold into an extended hairpin structure with a large single-stranded internal bulge. The 6S RNA specifically associates with RNA polymerase holoenzyme containing the sigma70 specificity factor. Lineage: Bacteria; Pseudomonadati; Pseudomonadota; Alphaproteobacteria; Hyphomicrobiales; Cohaesibacteraceae. The record is from Rfam by way of RNAcentral.
AGUUAGCUGCACUUCGCGUUAGAAGAUACUUUUCCUUGGGGCCUUAAAGAUCCGAAUGGGAGCUGGCUCUGAUAAGGACCGUGGUCCUCUUCAUACCGGCACCCACCUGUAACACAGGUGUCCCAGGAUCCGUUUACUCUUCGACGGUCGUUGCGGCUUCCUU